This 659-nucleotide long non-coding RNA is filed under the name Medicago truncatula (barrel medic). RNAcentral describes it as "lncRNA gene5790". The record is from RNAcentral. Lineage: Eukaryota; Viridiplantae; Streptophyta; Magnoliopsida; Fabales; Fabaceae.
UCUCACUCUUCAACCCCUUGUCUCUUUUUCUCUCUUCUCCUUCAAUAAUUUCUUUUGGUUGCCUAUGUUGCCGUCGUUCCCACCUCUGUAUGCAUUUUGAAAAUGUUUUUGUUGGAUUUAUUUAAAAAGGUUGUUGUCAUUGUGUUUUAGAGGAGUGUGAGGCAGAGAUAAUAGAUCCCGAGAAGAGAGAGGGUGAGGAUGGCAGCGACGACGGCGACGGUGGCGACGACAGUGGUGGAUCUAAGGGUCGGCAUGAGGACGACAGUUGUGAGAUCUGAGUCUUUGGACGGUGACGACGGUGGUGGUGGUAGGAUUUGAGGUUGAAGACGGCGGAGGACGGUGAUGGAUGUGGCCGCUGGUGGUGGUGAAGAUGAAUGGGUGGUUGGAUAAGUGACAAAGGUUGAAAGAAAACUGAAUGCUGAAUGAGAGUCACAAUUUUUUUGAGAGAGUAAAUUUUUUUUUUUGGUUGAGCUGGCUUUUUUUAUAUUUUAUUGUGACAAGUGGGAGGGUGUAAGAGAGGGGUACACCACGUAAGGGUGUUUACCUAUCAGCUCUCUAAAAAAACUAUUAGAGUGUAAACUCACCGUGAAACAUCUUCAACAUCCCAAUAAUAUUAUUAAAAUAAAAUUGAAAAAGAGAGUACAAUUUAGGGAAACUAG